RNAcentral lists this long non-coding RNA (1140 nucleotides) under Nasonia vitripennis (jewel wasp). RNAcentral's name for it is "uncharacterized LOC107980839, transcript variant X2". The record is from RNAcentral. Lineage: Eukaryota; Metazoa; Arthropoda; Insecta; Hymenoptera; Pteromalidae.
UUUCACUGAUCUCAUCAGUGAAGCAACUUUUCACUGUUAAAACAGUUAUUAUUUCACUGCUUGAAAUUGUUCGGUUAUUUCAACUAUCAAAACAGUGAAUAUUCACUUUCAAAAAACAGUGAAAUUCAUUCACUGUUCAAAACAGUGAAUUGAUCUUCCCGCCGAAUCGUAUCGAUUAACAAAAUGGCCGCCGGCGGUGCAGUAGCGCGGAAGGUCAGUUUGGCGGGAUCGUGCGACAAGUUGACACAUGCGGAUGCCCUCGCGGAUGCCGGACACGUGCGGAUGCCGUAUAUUUGACGAACUCGUUGCUCGUUUCUAUUGCUGCUCUUGCUGCUUAUAAUAUAUUGGUACGCAAACAAUACUUCGUAUAAGCAUACGAAAAAUCAAUUGAUGUAUGUACAGACAUACAAGAAGGUUAUCUCGAGGCUUGAGGGUUAUAUGCAAUAUACAUAACGUAGAGAGAAGCAGCUUUUCAACUUAUUUGUUGUGUGCACUCGUUAAACAAAGUUUUUCAUUCCUCUAAAACCAUAAACGAUGGAUCAGAUGAAAGAUCCUGCAGAUUUGAGGAGUUAUUUGGAAAAUAUUAUUAAUGAUAAAUCAGCUGUCGAACUACUAGAAGGAUUCGCACUGAGAGAAGAUUGUGGCUAUAUAUAUGUCCACGAUCAAAAUUAUUCAAGAUGAUAAUCUUAAGGCUUUACUGAUCUUAAUCGACUUGCUUCCUACAUCGAACGCAUGCAUAAGAGGUGGCAAAGAGUAUUGAAAGCAUACAGAAUUUUUCAGAAGAAAAAAGACUGCGCAUGGGAACGCCUAUUCAACCGUACAUAGUCGCUAUUGAUGGGCGUACUACACAGUUUCAAGUCCAAGGCGAUGGCCGUAUUAUUGCCCGAAAACCCUCAAAUGAAAUAAUCACUACAUUUUACCUUCUGUUUAAAAUGUAUUAUGUUUUUAACUUAACGUAUCCUAUUCUACUACAGAAUUUUUAUCUCUUUAUGCAAGUAAAUGUUUAUGGCAUACAGGACAAGUGCCCUGAAAGUGUAUCGUCGUUGUAUACUGCCUUAAAUUCUGUAGAAGAAGAGGAUGAUGAAGAAAUCUCCGAAAAUAAUACAGAUGAAAAAUAAAAUUGUUUAAUAUGUACGAAAA